Clupea harengus (Atlantic herring) is the source of this 1870-nucleotide long non-coding RNA. The record is from Ensembl. Lineage: Eukaryota; Metazoa; Chordata; Actinopteri; Clupeiformes; Clupeidae.
GGGGGGGGGGGCAUUUUUAUCUGUAUUUAUUUAAAGGGGGGGCUUUUUAACCAGUCCUACAUUCUGAGGUGAGAUCACUCCAGAGGGACGUCUUACAGGGGGGGGUUCAUUUUGAGGGAGGGGGCGGGACAGGAGCAGGAUUGGGCAUCAGUGUGACGGACAGGUAGGUGGGCCUGUGGUACGCGUGCAGAGCUCUCCUGUUGGCUACACUCGUCUCUCUCCUCUCUCGUCCACGUGGGACCAUCAUCUGUUUCACACACUCACACAGACUUUAGGCUGAACACACACGCACGUACACACACACACACACACACACACACACACACACACACACACACACACACACUCACACAGACUUUAGGCUGAACACACACGCACACACACACACACACACACACACACACGCACAGAGAGACACUCAGACUUUAGGCUGAACACACACGCACGUACACACAGACACACAACACACACACACACACACACACACACACAGACACACAACACACACACACACACACACACUCACACACACAGACACACACACACACGCACAGAGAGACACUCAGACUUUAGGCUGAACACACACACACACACACACACACACACACACACACACACUCACACACACAGACUUUAGGCUGGCUUUCUCAGUGCUACAACACUGGGAUUGGAAGACAUUUCUGUCCUUUUACUUCAAAGUACUUUUAUUCUUCUUUAUUCUCCGCUCACCCUGUUUCCUGGUACGCCGCCCCCUGUGGCUUGUGGUUAUUCUCGUGGCACAAAUGUAUAAAAAAUUAACGGUACUUCUUAACCAAAUUGAGCUUGCCUGGCAACUUUUUAAUCAUCGUACGUUCCCGACGACACGUUUGCUGUAUCAAGUGCUUUCUCACACACACCCCGGCUAAUGUCAGCCGCGUGGCGUGGAGAAGCAUGCAGAAAGCACACACACAGAGUAUAUAUAUCUUACAUGACGACAAGUCAAGCGAGGCCUGUAUAUGCUUAGAGGACUAUUUUACUGUAAUCAAAUGUAACUCGGGUAAUAUUAUCGUUUUACACGUGUGUUUUAUUCAUCAGAAAAUAAUCUUUUCACGCUUCUGCUGCGCCUGAGAUGAAGAGUAUUAUUUUCUCGAGCGCUGGCUGUGUGUCUGUCGAGCGGGUGUGUGUUAUGUAUCGCUGACAGCAUGGAGCUGUGUGGGCCUCGACCCCAGUGCUCGUCUUCCAGACGAGGAAGACUCGAUUCUAACGCUACAAAACUGCUUACUUCCUGGAACUGCUUUUUUGACCGAGCUCAGCUUGCGUUGUGAAAGUGAACUGGUUCUUGUGCUGUGUGUGUGUGUGUGUGUGUGUGUGUGUGUGUGUGUGUGUGUGUGUGUGUGUUUUGCGCUUGUGUGUUAAGGUACAUUGUGUUGAUACUGACUGUAUAUGAUAAAGGUACGUCAUCCGUGCACCAAACCUGUCAUAUUUUGUACCUUCGCUGUUUCUGUCGUUUGGAUUUGAGGUUUAUUCUGUAAAGUCGGGUUUUGUUAGGUUUUUUUUCUACUAAUGAAAUUUGAGUAUGAGAGUGUUGUUAUUUGACCUUUGACCUUUGAGUUCGAGCAGCAUCAGGUAGGGCUGAGAUAAGAGUCCAGACCCGAUCAGCUGAGAUAAGACGGAGAUAAGAAACCCUGCAGAUGAGAUAUCCAGACCUGAUCAGCCGAGAUAAGAGUCGGGGGGAAAACCCUGCAGUUGAGAGUCCAGACCCGAUCAGCUGCUGGACGAGAGAUAGAUGCUUCCCCAAGGGCGGAAUACACCGUAGGGUUCAUGACCUUUACAAGGGGAUGAGACGGACAGACAGAGGGACAGACAGAGGGACAGACAGAGGGACAGGGGG